RNAcentral lists this unclassified non-coding RNA (330 nucleotides) under soil metagenome. RNAcentral's name for it is "partial contains 5.8S ribosomal RNA, internal transcribed spacer 2, and large subunit ribosomal RNA". The stretch from base 6 to 121 matches the Rfam family "5.8S ribosomal RNA", at positions 39 to 154 of the family's 154-position model. The record is from RNAcentral.
GAUGAAAGAACGUAGCGAAAUGCGAUAAGUAAUGUGAAUUGCAGAAUUCAGUGAAUCAUCGAAUCUUUGAACGCACAUUGCGCCCCUUGGUAUUCCGAGGGGCAUGCCUGUUCGAGCGUCAUUAUAACCCCUCAAGCUCAGCUUGGUGUUGGGGCCUGCUGCACUGGCAGCCCUUAAAAUCAGUGGCGGCGCCAUCUGGCUCUAAGCGUAGUAAUUCUUCUCGCUAUGGAGUCCUGGUGGAUGCUUGCCAUCAACCCCCAAUUUUUCUAUGGUUGACCUCGGAUCAGGUAGGGAUACCCGCUGAACUUAAGCAUAUCAAUAAGCGGAGGA